CCUACGGGAGGCAGCAGUGAGGAAUAUUGGUCAAUGGUCGGGAUACUGAACCAGCCAAGCCGCGUGAGGGAUGAAGGUACAGAGUAUCGUAAACCUCUUUUGUCAGGGAACAAAGGCGGGGACGUGUCCCCGGAUGAGUGUACCUGAAGAAAAAGCAUCGGCUAACUCCGUGCCAGCAGCCGCGGUAAUACGGAGGAUGCGCGCGUUAUCCGGAUUUCUUGGGUUUACGGGGUGCGCAGGCGGUCUGUUAAGUCAGCGGUCAAAGCCCGGGGCUCAACCCCGGCCCGCCAUUGAAACUGGCAGUCUCGAGUUGGAGAGAAGUAUGCGGAAUGCGCGGUGUAGCGGUGAAAUGCAUAGAUAUCGCGCAGAACUCCGAUUGCGAAGGCAGCAUGCCGGCUCCACACUGACGCUGAGGCACGAAAGCGUGGGUAUCGAACAGGAUUAGAUACCCGAGUAGUC
RNAcentral lists this ribosomal RNA (459 nucleotides) under uncultured bacterium. Its description in RNAcentral is "partial 16S ribosomal RNA". It matches the Rfam family "Bacterial small subunit ribosomal RNA", at positions 338 to 795 of the family's 1533-position model. The record is from RNAcentral.